GACCGCUCUGGUGGCAUAGUAGUUAGAGCGUCCGCCUCAGAUGCGUGGAGGUCAUGGGUUCGAUCCCCGGUCGAGUCA
Non-coding RNA from Potamilus streckersoni, 78 nucleotides. The record is from the annotation of a GenBank genome assembly. NCBI's taxonomy places the organism in Eukaryota, Metazoa, Mollusca, Bivalvia, Unionida, Unionidae.